UGAGCUUUACUGUCAGGAUUAUGUGC
Molecule: non-coding RNA, 26 nt
Filed under: Mus musculus (house mouse)
Lineage: Eukaryota; Metazoa; Chordata; Mammalia; Rodentia; Muridae
Also listed under: 1 other name
Source: RNAcentral